This is a microRNA precursor of Callithrix jacchus (white-tufted-ear marmoset), 87 nucleotides long. The record is from Ensembl. Lineage: Eukaryota; Metazoa; Chordata; Mammalia; Primates; Cebidae.
UCUCAGGCCGUGACCCUCUACAAGGAAGCACUUCCUGUUGUCAGAAAGAAAAGAAAGUGCAUCCUUGUACAGGGUUACUGUCUGAGA